GAGGGUACAGCUCAAGUGGUAGAGCAUAUGCUUAGCAUGCCUGAGGUCUGGGGUUCAAUUCCCAGUACCUCCU
This 73-nucleotide transfer RNA is filed under the name Camelus bactrianus (Bactrian camel). It matches the Rfam family "tRNA". From Rfam's summary of the family: Transfer RNA (tRNA) molecules are approximately 80 nucleotides in length. Their secondary structure includes four short double-helical elements and three loops (D, anti-codon, and T loops). Lineage: Eukaryota; Metazoa; Chordata; Mammalia; Artiodactyla; Camelidae. The record is from Rfam by way of RNAcentral. RNAcentral also lists the same sequence under 2 other names.